This is a long non-coding RNA of Nerophis ophidion (straightnose pipefish), 1587 nucleotides long. RefSeq lists it as uncharacterized. The record is from RefSeq and is a predicted model, not a curated record. NCBI's taxonomy places the organism in Eukaryota, Metazoa, Chordata, Actinopteri, Syngnathiformes, Syngnathidae. The transcript is spliced from 2 exons.
UUACGGGAGCAUGGAAAGAGCUUGGAAUGGACUAGGCAGUGCAGAACUUUCUCAGUGAAAAGCAGUGCAUUUGGAAAUUCAACCCACCACACGCUUCCCAUAUGGGAGGCUCCUUGGAGGGAAUGAUCAGGAUUGCAAGGAGAAUCCUGGAUUCAAUGUUACUGCAGCACGCGACUUGUAUAACCCACGAAGUUCUUUGCACUCUGAUGGCGGAGGUCACUGCAAUUAUAAAUGCACGACCACUUCUACCUGAAUCCAUAGAUCCACAACAGCCCUUCAUUCUUUCACCAUCAAUGCUCCUAACACAGAAGGCAGGAGCUCCACCUCCACCUGGAGAAUUCACAGAGAAGGACCUUUACACCAAACAAUGGAAGCAAGUGCAAGCAUUUGCAAACCAGUUUUAGAGCUGAUGGAGAAGGGAGUACCUUCUGUCUUUGCAACAGAGACAGAAAUGGAAUAUGCCACGGCGAAAUCUUCAAGUAGGAGAUCUAGUUCUCCUCAAGGACAAGCAGGCUGCACAUAACUACUGGCCUAUGACUAUGGUCACUGCCACGUUCCCCGGGAUUGACAAUUUGGUCUGUAAGGUCGAAGUGAAGACUACAGACCAAGGAACCCCAAAAACAUUUUUGAGACCAGUAACAGAAGUUGUUUUACUCCUGGUCAAAGAUUAGAGUUGUUUGAUGGUCUUAGUGGCCUCACAUAGGCCAGGCGGGGAGUGUGUUGUCCUGAAGUCAAUUGUUAAUAUUAUUUACAUAAUUACUUGAUAAUAUUUUUGUAUUAGUGACUGCAAUGCUUUAAUUUGGAGCUAAAGUUGUGUAUAUUUAUUGUACACUGUAAUCGGUAAACAGCAGUUAGAAGAUGUCACUUCCGCUAAAUAACUUCCUGUUGGUUGACUUCCGGUAUUCGUUCGAAAGCAAGUAAUUCUUGUUGCGGUCUACACUUGUAAUUUCUGUUGCCAUCCUACACAAAGCAGCGAAGAAGCAAUGCCAUCUCCACGUCACUUGUCCUCCUCUCUGGCUGUGAAAACCUGCCGUGGCCAAUUAUGGAGACACAAAGGGAAGGGACAUGGAUGGGUUCCCCAGCAGCAGCAGCAGCAGCAGCACAGGCAGCCAAGCAAGUAGCCUCAGUGUUCCAGUGGAAAGCAGCACUUCAUCUCUUCGUCUGAAGUCCUGCUGUUGAGACACAGCACAAGAAGAUAAUGCUGAUUCCUCACAUCAAGGCUUUCGUUCCUUACGUCGUCGUCUCUUGUUUUACUUCUCAUCUAUGGAGCUCUCAGUUUGUAAACAGAUCCACGCUCAUGUGAUUCGCUGUCUGCAUCCCAACUCUGUUUUUACUGCCCCCUCCUUCCUGCUUCCUCCUGCUCACUGCCACCCUUUGGCUUUUUUUUCUUCCACCUCCCCCACUUCCUUCUUUUUCCUUUGCAGCUGCAAGCUAUUAUUGAAGUAUCACUUAAGAAGACAUACGUGGAAACAGAUUGCAAUCUAGUGGUUACACAGAGGUGGGAGUAAGUCAAUGUAUUACAAGUCUCAAGUACGUCUGUAAUCUUUGAUCUCAAGUCAAGUCAUUAAACAAGAAAGGUCAAGUCAA